Molecule: long non-coding RNA, 273 nt
Filed under: Lathyrus oleraceus (garden pea)
Lineage: Eukaryota; Viridiplantae; Streptophyta; Magnoliopsida; Fabales; Fabaceae
Description: Pisum sativum (pea) long non-coding RNA (PSAT_LNC017988)
Source: RNAcentral
UUCAUUGUUAUUAUGUGGGCGAUAACAAUCUUGUUCAUCAAGAUUGAUUGAAAUUCUCCAUAGAUUUUGGGGGAUUUCCAACAAAAACAAGUAUUUUAAAAUAGGAAAAAAACAUGAAAUUUUUUGUUUAUGACUAAACCAUAUAACAUCUUUUUAUCUCUAGUAAAAACUAUAAAAAAAAUUUUAACAUAUUUUUUUACUUAAACAAUAUCAUCUAUCAUAUCUCAUCACUCUUUCAUGUCUCUCCUCUCCCACCGAUAUCAUGCCUCUUUC